RNAcentral lists this microRNA (22 nucleotides) under Acyrthosiphon pisum (pea aphid). RNAcentral describes it as "api-miR-3028". The record is from miRBase by way of RNAcentral. Lineage: Eukaryota; Metazoa; Arthropoda; Insecta; Hemiptera; Aphididae.
UACGGUUUAGACUAUUCAUUUU